UUUUCGGAAGGGAGAACGGUGG
RNAcentral lists this unclassified non-coding RNA (22 nucleotides) under Chlamydomonas reinhardtii. RNAcentral's name for it is "small RNA Cre_4173". The record is from RNAcentral. Lineage: Eukaryota; Viridiplantae; Chlorophyta; Chlorophyceae; Chlamydomonadales; Chlamydomonadaceae.